AAAACCUUGAGGCUGCCGCCAAACUCUAUUUUAAUCUAGGCCGGGUGAAAUUGAGCUCCCACAAAUUAAUUUCCAGAUGAGAACCCAUUGGAACGGCCAUCACUCAAUUUCCACCGAAAAAUAAAAAUUUAAAAUUAUAUAUAAAAACAGAGAACAGGAUGUGAGACCUUUCUUUGAGCAGAACAGAAUGAGAAAUUGAAUCGAUUUUGCACAUAAUAAAGAAAGGGCUCGAAUCGGUGUAUGCCUGCAACGGAACCGAGAGGCUAAAGAAAUGGCACGAUCGGCUCUCUC
RNAcentral lists this long non-coding RNA (291 nucleotides) under Olea europaea subsp. europaea. The record is from RNAcentral. Lineage: Eukaryota; Viridiplantae; Streptophyta; Magnoliopsida; Lamiales; Oleaceae.